RNAcentral lists this ribosomal RNA (818 nucleotides) under Spirobranchus triqueter. Its description in RNAcentral is "SSU rRNA". It matches the Rfam family "Eukaryotic small subunit ribosomal RNA", at positions 106 to 867 of the family's 1831-position model. Lineage: Eukaryota; Metazoa; Annelida; Polychaeta; Sabellida; Serpulidae. The record is from RNAcentral.
UCAUAUGUGAUUUCUUAGAUCGUUGCGUCCCUUCGGGGAUGUUUGGAUAACUGUGGCAAUUCUAGAGCUAAUACAUGCAAUCAAGCUCCAACCUUCGGGGACGAGCGCUCUUAUUAGACCAAGGCCAACCUGCUGGGCAACUGGCAGUUAGCUGUGGUGACUCUGGAUAAACACAGUUGAUCGCACGACUUUACGUCGGCGACGUAUCUUUCAAGCGUAUGCCCUAUCAGCUGUCGACGGUAGGGUAGCGGCCUACCGUGGCAUCAACGGGUAACGGGGGAUCAGGGUCCGAUCCCGGAGAGUAAGCCUGAGAGACGGCUUACACAUCUAAGGAAGGCAGCAGGCGCGCAAAUUACCCAAUGGGGAAACCCUGAGGUAGUGACAAGAAAUAACAAUACGCGACUCUUUCGAGGCCGCGUAAUUGGAAUGAGCACAGUCUAAAUCCUUUAGCGAGGAUCAAUUGGAGGGCAAGUCUGGUGCCAGCAGCCGCGGUAAUUCCAGCUCCAAUAGCGUAUAUUAAAGUUGCUGCAGUUAAAAAGCUCGUAGUUGACAAUCGGCGCUCGUCUCGGCGGUCCUGUUCACGCAGGCACUGCCUUGACGGCCUCUACACACUGGCUUGCGGUCGUGCAGGCUGGGAGACUGGCAGCACGUACCAGAGCCCCGGGUGCCCUUCAUUGGGUGCCCGUGGGUGGCCUUUGCGUUUACUUUGAAGAAAUUAGAGUGUUCAAAGCGGGCUCUUGAUAGCUCGGAUACUCGUACAUGGAAUAAUGGAAUAGGACCCUGGGUCAUUUCCGUUGGUCUAUGGCCAUUGGGUAAUG